AGUUCGCCCACCUAACUCCGAGGAAGUCUUGUCAGCUCCGUCAUCUACCAUGACCCCUCGGAGCUCACAGCCUCACACCAACCAGGACAGAAAAAAUGCUGUCCCUGCAUCCCUUGAAGUCAUUGGGACCCAGCUAUCCCGUGCAGGCUAAACUUACCUCAACCCAUCUCCAUGGAAGUCUUGUGGGCUCUGUCAUCUGCCGUGACCUCUUGCAGUCCACAGCCUCACACCAAUCAGUCAUCUACCAUGACCCCUCGGAGCUCACAGCCUCACACCAACCAGGACAGAAAAAAUGCUGUCCCUGCAUCCCUUGAAGUCAUUGGGACCCAGCUAUCCCGUGCAGGCUAAACUUACCUCAACCCAUCUCCAUGGAAGUCUUGUGGGCUCUGUCAUCUGCCGUGACCUCUUGCAGUCCACAGCCUCACACCAAUCAGACAUGAGAAAUGGUGUCCCUGAGGCCCUUGGCAUUG
Meriones unguiculatus (Mongolian gerbil) is the source of this 470-nucleotide long non-coding RNA. RefSeq lists it as uncharacterized. Lineage: Eukaryota; Metazoa; Chordata; Mammalia; Rodentia; Muridae. The transcript is spliced from 8 exons. The record is from RefSeq and is a predicted model, not a curated record.